AUAGAUAGAUCUAUCUAUCUAUCUAUACAUAUAUAGAUAUAUAUAGAUAUAUAGAUACAUAGAUAGAUUGAUUUGGAUAUCACAAAAAAUGAGUAAACCUUAUCUAUCCCAAAGGAAAAUCUGCAUUAUUUGAAGAAGCUGCAUUAAUAGAUUUUGUUUUUGGAAGAGAAAUCCUUUUUUAAAGCAUUUUUUAGCUUCCAAAACAACAGUGUGAUGUUAGUUAGCUGUUUGCUAACAUGUUAGCAUCAUCUGCGUUUUAAGCUAACAGUCAUAGUAAACAAAUAAACAAAAACUCUCAAUGCAGCUUCAAGGUUGAAUCAAACAUGAAAUAACCUCCAAUCAGUUUUUAAUCACCAGUAAACCCAUCAUCAGUCUGACUCCAGCCAAUAGUCACGCAGUUAACAGUGAUGUCACAGUGACAUCACAGCUGAUUUAUGGGAUGCUGUGAACUGAAGACGCUAUGCAAAGAUUCAAACUGUGUGUUUUCUGGAGGAAUGAUCGAACGUUCAGACAACUGAAUCGACCCGAUAGUAUUUUUAGAGAGCAAAUAUAAACCAAAAGCGUCCAUCAGUGGUGAAAAAGCUGUUAAACAGCAUUAAAGAGACAAAAUUUACAGAAUUUAAAAAGAACUACAGCAAAUAAAUAAUAAGAAAGAUCAGAAAAGUUUUUCUGUGGACAUGCAGAGCUGCUGUUGGUGUUUUAUGACCUCAGUGUUUCUAAAAUCCUGCUUCAGAUGGCAAAUGUUUGUGAUCUAAAUGUCGUCUGUCUGAUCGGCAGCUUUCGAUAACUGAUACUGUCGGACUUCAGCUGGUUUCCUUCGGUGUUGAGCGUCUGUUUCCCAGAAUCCUCCUGCUGUUCUCAGACCAGCUUUUACUUCAUAUUCCAGCUUCACUUGACUGCUUCGACUAACAUGAUCAGUGAUUUUUUGCCAAAAACAUUGCCAAAAUGUUUCUUUAACAUCCAAAUAAACUAAAGCUAAGGACGCUAAAGGGAAUAUGGGAAGAGAUUUUGGUUUCUUUCUGUUUUUUCUUGACACAACAGGUAGAUUUUCUGGGAAUGAAAUGCGACAGGUGCUACAGAAAAGCAACCAAAAAUAUCACGACAUGAGACGAGCUUUGAGAAGCUGAGCUCAGGUCGGACGCUGCAGCAGCGAACCAGCAGGAGGCGCUCUGAUCCGCUGGAAACCAGAGUUUAGGUUGGAAACAGAGACUGAACGGACAAAAAACAGGUUAGACGAGGAAAUGAGUGGAUGAAAAUGAAAUAGUGACAACAUAAACCAUAACGAGGAAUUAUAAAACUAAGCAAUCGUCCAAUCAUAGUCCUGGAGCUAAAAGUUGGUGAACUUUGAAUUCAUCAGGUCGACACAAACACAACUUCCAAAUAGGUCCCUAACUAACAGCGACUUUUAGGGCCUAAAUAAACACUAAAAACAGAGUGUUUGGUUUAUGUUAGCCGUAACUCCAGUUUACAUUAGAGUUUAAGUCACUUACAGCUAAAAUGUUGGAUUUCCCCAAAGAAAAGUCCAGAAAAUCAUUUAAAAACACUCCAAAGCAGCACCUCAGGAUCCAGGUCUAAACUAAGACUGCAAACCACUGGGUAGCUCUGGAAUAUAUGCUAACACAUCUGGCACAAGCUAGUGCUAGCUUUAUAUUGACUAAAGGUUCAUUUUCAGAAGCUACAACGGUUUAGCUGUAAUUAGCUGACAGGUUUUAUGAAUGCAAACUUUGCUGAUACAGCUAGCUAACGUUUACGUUAGCGAGCCUAAACAGUUCAAGUCCGGUUAGGCUAGCAAUCAAAGCCGCUGAGGAAAAAUCAGCUAGCAGGUCAAACACUUUAGUACAACAGCUGGCAUCAGCUAGCUAACAGGCUAGGCUACCAAAACAACUUAAAACAACUCAGGCCAGGUCAGCUAGUGGCUUAGUUUUACCAGCUAACACAGUUAAGUUCUAGUUAGCUAGUCAACUUGGCGGUAGCUAACAGUUGAGGUGUUAGCAGCUGAAACUGAUGAAUUCAGACAGUUCAGUUUAUCAGAUUUAAUAUUUUAAAUCUGGACUCCAACAUGUUGAUGAAUCUUUAUCAAACUUUAAGUCAACGUAUCUGAGAAAGAAUUUCUAUUUGUUAUUAUUUCUAACUUUUCACAAGACAAAAAACUGAUGUUUUAUCUUUAUAACGUCUUGUUUUGGUGCUGAAAGGUGUUUCUGUCACGUCUCAGUUUGAGAAUAACUCCAUCUUUGUUUCCAGCCCAAACUCUAAAUGCUACCUGGUGACCUCAUUCAUCCCAGCGUCGGCCAUGUUGUUGUAACCGUGUCUCUGUGACUUUGUGGAAACCGCCGUCUUCCAUCCAUAACGUAGAUUAAACAAUCGGUUUGGCGAUUGAUUAGCUGAACAAGUAGCUGUGCUAACAGUAGUAGCGAACUUCAGGGCUCCACGUUGAUGAGUCACCAGCCAAAAAGUUGCAGAGUUGAUGAUGAAGAGUCGACUUUGAGCCCUGAUGAUGUCACCUGUGUUCCAUCUCCAUGCUGUGAUCACUGUGCUCAUUCACACUGACUAAACCAACGGCAAUAAAACUAACAUCAUGACAAACAGUUCCUCUGUCUCCGUGGUUACUGGGCUG
Long non-coding RNA from Amphiprion ocellaris (clown anemonefish), 2614 nucleotides. The record is from Ensembl. NCBI's taxonomy places the organism in Eukaryota, Metazoa, Chordata, Actinopteri, Pomacentridae.